This 497-nucleotide ribosomal RNA is filed under the name uncultured bacterium. RNAcentral describes it as "partial 16S ribosomal RNA". It matches the Rfam family "Bacterial small subunit ribosomal RNA", at positions 28 to 507 of the family's 1533-position model. The record is from RNAcentral.
GAUGAACGCUGGCGGCAUGCCUAACACAUGCAAGUCGAGCGAACAGAUCAGGAGUUUGCUCCCCUGACGUUAGCGGCGGUCGGGUGCUUCACACGUGGAUAACCUACCUAUCCGACUGGGAUACUUUCGCCAAACAAGAUCUACUACCGGAUAAUUUAUUGCACCGCAUUGUUCCCUCGUUAAAGACGCUUUUUCUGUCACUUAUAGCCUGCUACGCCCCGCAUUAGCUAGUUGGUAAGGUAACGGCUUACCAAGGCAACGAUGCGUAGACGACCUGAGCGGGUGAUCGGCCACACGGGAUCUGAGACACGGUACAGACUCCUACGGUAGGCAGCAGUAGGGAAUCUUCCGCGAGGGGCGAAAGCCGGACGGAGCAACGCCGCGGGAGGGAUGAAGGUCUUCGGAUCGUAGAACGCUGUUAGUAGGGAGGAAGAAAAGUGUAUGAAACUAUGCACGUCUUGACGGUACCUAGACAGAAAGCCACGGCUAACUACGUG